UUCUGCCCUCUCACGUCUAGCCUCGGGAGGACACAGACGCAAGCGCUAGAGGAGGGCCCCGCGGCGUUGCCAUGGCUACAUGCGCCGCGCUCUGCGCGGGCCGGUGUGAGCUUCUGGGGCGGGCAGCGGGCUCCGGAAGUGUGCAGCUACCCGGGACCAUGGCGGUGCUUGCUGCUGGGGCUGGAGGCUUGCUCGCCUGGGCGACUAGUUCUGGCCUGGUCAGUCGGCGGCUGACAUCCUGUCUGGGGCGGCGUCCCACAGACGGUACAUUCUGUGUGACGUCAACCCUCCAGAGGGCUUCAGCCUCCGUAGAAGCGUCUGUAUCCACAUCGCCUUCCUCCUGAAGACCCUGCUGAAAAUGGAGGAAUCGGUGCUGGUGAUACCCCCUUGGGGCCGCCUCUACCAUUGGCAGAGCCUGGACAUCCACCAGGUCCGGAUUCCCUGGUCUGACUUUUUUGAUCUCUCAAGUCUCAACAGAAACAUCCCUGACACUGAGUACGAACCGUUCAUUGCAGUUUUUCUCAGGAAAUAGAUCUGAAGUGUAUGAGAUCUGUGUUCCCUCCGCUCUGAAAAUCCUGGCCUCCUGGUGAGAUGGAGCGGUGACAAGAAGGCCACUGCCACACAGGCCUUGUCUAAGGAGGACUCGCUCCCUGGGCAGUAAGGGCCAUACUUACCUGAAGGAAAACACGAUGUGUGUGUAGCAUGGGCCACGUGCUGGAGAAGGUAUGUAACCUCUCAUUCAGUAUAAUUUGGUCCUGCUCAAGCUUCCCAUUUUACUUUCCGUAAGAGGUAAGAGUUGAAGAUUUUCUUUGAAUAAAGAUAUUUAGAGCUUAUCUUUUUCUUUAAUUGAAAUGUGGUUGAUUUACAAUGUUUUGUUAGUUUCAGAUAUACAGCUGUUUUGUUAGUUUCAGGUAUACAGCAUAGUGAUUCAGUUGUACAUAUACAUAGUCUAUUCUUUUUCAGGUUCUUUUCCAUUAAAGGUUGCAAGAUACUGAAUAUUUUCCCCUGUGUUCUGCAGUAAAUCUUUGUUGUUUGUCUAUUUUACAUAUAGUAGUUUGUAAUUGUUUAUCCCAAACUCCUAAGUUAGUUUUCUAAGUCUGUGAGUGUGUUUUUGUUUUGUAAAUAAGUUCAUUUGUAUCAUUUUUAAAAAUUCCACAUACAAGUGAUAUCAUAUGAUACUUGUCUUUCUCUGUCUGAGUUAUUUCACUUUAGUGUGAUAAUCUCCAGGUCCAUCCAUGUUGAUGUAAAUGGCAUUAUUUCCUUCUUUGUUAUGACUGAGUAAUAUUCUUCUAUAUCUAAAUUCUACAUCUUUAUCCAGUCAUCUGUCUGUGGGUGUUUAGUUUGCUUCUAUGUCUUGGCCAUUGUAAGCAAUGCUGCUGUGAACAUUGGGGUGCAGGUAUCUUUUGGAAUUAAGGCUCCCUCUGGAUAUAUGCCCAGGAAUGGGAUUGCUGGAUCAAAUGAUAAGUCUUUUUUUAGUCUUUUGAGGACUCACCAUACUGUUUUCCACAGUGGCUGCACCAAACUACAUUCACACCAACAAUGUAGGAGGGUUCCCUUUUCUCCACAGCCUCUCCAGCAUUUGUGGUUUGUGGAUGUUUGAAUGGUGGCCAUUCUGACUAGUGUGAGAUGAUAACUUAUUGUAGUUUUGAUUUGCAUUUCUCUGAUAAUUAGCAAUAUUGAACCUUUUUUUCAUAUUCCUAUUGGCCAUUUGUAUAUCUUCAUUGGAGAAUUGCUUGUUUAGUUGUUCUGCCCAUUUUUGGAUUGGGUUGUUUAUUUUUUUUUCUUAUUAAGUUGUAUGAACUAUUUAUAUAGUCUAGAAUUUAAGCCAUGUUCAGUCUCAUCUUUUGCAAAAAUUUUCUCCCAUUCCAUAGGUUGUCUUUUUGUUUUGCUUAUGGUUUCUGUUGCUGUGAAAAAGCUGAUAAGUGUAAUUAGGUCCCAUUUGUUUAUUUUGUAUUUUAUUUCUGUUGCUUGGGUGUAAUGCCCUAGGAAAACAUUGCUGAGAUAUAUAUCAAAUAAUAUUUUGCCUACGUUUUCUUCUGAGAGAUUUAUAGCGUCUUGUCUAAUGUUUAAGUCUUUAAGCAAUUUUGAGCUUGUUUCUUUUUUUUUUUUUUUUUUUUGCUACUCUAUUGUAUGCUUUCGAUUUGUGGUUAUCUUUUUUUCAAGUAUAUCAACCCAUUACCAUAUCUAUUUCCUUUAGACUGAUAAUCACGUAGGCUCCAACACAUCCUAAGAAUAAUGAGAAAAAAAAAAGAAAGAAAGAGAAAAAAAUCUUUCUUUUCAUGCUACCGUCUCCCAUUACCAACUUUUUGUAUUUUGAUGUACUUUUUCUUUUUUCCAUCUUCAUGUUUAUUGUCUUGUAACUCGUUAUUGCAUUUCCAACUAUGGUU
Camelus dromedarius (Arabian camel) is the source of this 2387-nucleotide long non-coding RNA. RefSeq lists it as uncharacterized. NCBI's taxonomy places the organism in Eukaryota, Metazoa, Chordata, Mammalia, Artiodactyla, Camelidae. The record is from RefSeq and is a predicted model, not a curated record. The transcript has 3 exons.